Molecule: ribosomal RNA, 383 nt
Filed under: uncultured bacterium
Lineage: Bacteria
Description: bacterial SSU rRNA
Rfam family: Bacterial small subunit ribosomal RNA
Source: RNAcentral
UACAGAGGUCCCAAGCGUUGUUCGGAUUCACUGGGCGUAAAGGGUGCGUAGGUGGUCGGGUAAGUCUGAUGUGAAAUCUCGGAGCUCAACUCCGAAACGGCAUUGGAUACUAUUCGGCUGGAGGGUUGGAGGGGGGACUGGAAUUCUCGGUGUAGCAGUGAAAUGCGUAGAUAUCGAGAGGAACACCAGUGGCGAAGGCGAGUCCCUGGACAACUCCUGACACUAAGGCACGAAAGCCAGGGGAGCAAACAGGAUUAGAUACCCUGGUAGUCCUGGCUGUAAACGGUGCACGUUUGCUGUAAAAGGAAUCGACCCCUUUUGUGGCGUAGCCAACGCGUUAAACGUGCCGCCUGGGAAGUACGGUCGCAAGAUUAAAACUCAAA